This is a non-coding RNA of Mycena vulgaris, 91 nucleotides long. NCBI's taxonomy places the organism in Eukaryota, Fungi, Basidiomycota, Agaricomycetes, Agaricales, Mycenaceae. The record is from the annotation of a GenBank genome assembly.
GGCAGCAUGGUGUAUGGUGCACGCGGGGGUGCCAUAGGUGUUGUGACUCAGGAAUUUCUCUGAGGUCCUCGUUCGAUUCGAGGUGCUGCUC